AUGUUUUUCCUUUGCCCUGUUGCUAGGGUAGUUUGGCGCACAGUGGGUUCGGUGCUCGGGGCUGACCUAUGUCCCAACAAUUUUUGCCAGUUUUACUCUUGGUGUUAUGCUUUUCUUCCUCAGGGAGAGAAACAUUUUACCGUGGGGCUUGCGGCUGUCUGCUGGGCUAUUUGGAAUCGCAGGAAUCAAGCCACUUUUGAAUUCAAGAAACUGUCAUCUCCUUUUGAGAUUGUCUUUACAACUUGCACACAUUUAUCUUACUGGGCAGGUUUGUUGAAAGGCGAAGAACGAUCGGAGCUGGAGCAUGGCGCGGCGCUUCUGAAGAAGAAUGCUAAGGAGAUGAUGAGACUUUGCGCGACUGCACACACGGGAACCACAUUGAGCUGA
RNAcentral lists this ribosomal RNA (387 nucleotides) under Triticum aestivum (bread wheat). Its description in RNAcentral is "partial small subunit ribosomal RNA". Lineage: Eukaryota; Viridiplantae; Streptophyta; Magnoliopsida; Poales; Poaceae. The record is from RNAcentral.